UGAUGAGAUAUCAAAAUUUUCAAUCACAAUUUCACAAUUCCUUGGGCACAAAGUAGAAUAAAUAGGCUUAUUUACACAAUGGAUAAGUUAUAGAGGAAAAUAUCUAAUUCCUAUUAAGCCAGCGGGUUAGUAGUGAAAAGCAGGCUGAGGCUAAAUAAAAGCGAGACUUUUGGCAUACAUCUUUUCAUUCUGAUGUUUUUGGCGUAAGAUUAGUUGGUUCAGUUUGCAGUUGGAAUUUGGAACCGUCCUGAGAGUAAAAUCAGUGGGUUGUUGGCUAAAAAUUGUAGAUUUGCAUUUGCCAUUUAUCCCUCCUGUCGUUGGAGCAAAGUGGAACCUCCGGUACCGAAGCAUACAUACGAACAAGUCUGACUGACUCCCAUUUGAGGUGUUGCAGCUCAAGAAUCCGGGAGAGGAGGACAGGAAAACGUGCAACAUAAUGUGGCAUGGCCGUCGUCGUGUAGCAGGAGUAACAAGAAGCAAAUAGAGAUUUUUUAUGUGGAUGUACAUGGGGUUCAAACCACGAUGUCUGACUCUGGGAUCGAAUUGAAUGCCAAAUCACUGUCAACCAACACUAACCACUCGAAUAUUAUGUCAAGAAAGUUGACAAUAUUUACCGACUCUCAGUAACCAAGCCCUUGUUGCAAAUUUGCCAGAAUACUUGAGCAUAAAUGAAAAUUGCCGGAUUAUUAGAAGGUUGAAAACGAUUCAGCCUUUUAUUAUCAACUUUGAUGACGACCCCUCCAAUUAAUUUUAAAUCGUCCUGUCUCGCAAUUAUUUCUAGUUUACUUUUCUAAUUACCUUUUGUGAACAUGAAACAGAAAUAGAUCCAGUCCGACUGCCAAUAAAACAGUUGUGCGUUGUAUAUUUUUAUACGCUUAUCUCAAUGUAAUUCAACUUAAUUUGCCUCUCGUAAUACUGUAACAAACCUUGAAUAUCAAGCGAUAUGGAAAAAAUCGUAACUUUAUUUUCGUAGGAAUUAAAGUUUUCGCUCAAGUACAAAAAUGA
Long non-coding RNA from Folsomia candida, 1005 nucleotides. RefSeq lists it as uncharacterized. NCBI's taxonomy places the organism in Eukaryota, Metazoa, Arthropoda, Collembola, Entomobryomorpha, Isotomidae. The record is from RefSeq and is a predicted model, not a curated record. The transcript has 2 exons.